GAUGAACGCUGGCGGCGUGCUUAACACAUGCAAGUCGAACGGGAAACCUUUUAUUGAAGCUUCGGCAGAUUUCGCUGGUUUCUAGUGGCGGACGGGUGAGUAACGCGUGGGUAACCUGCCUUAUACAGGGGGAUAACAACCAGAAAUGGUUGCUAAUACCGCAUAAGCGCACAGGACCGCAUGGUCCGGUGUGAAAAACUCCGGUGGUAUAAGAUGGACCCGCGUUGGAUUAGCUAGUUGGCAGGGUAACGGCCUACCAAGGCGACGAUCCAUAGCCGGCCUGAGAGGGUGAACGGCCACAUUGGGACUGAGACACGGCCCAGACUCCUACGGGAGGCAGCAGUGGGGAAUAUUGCACAAUGGGGGAAACCCUGAUGCAGCGACGCCGCGUGAAGGAAGAAGUAUCUCGGUAUGUAAACUUCUAUCAGCAGGGAAGAUAGUGACGGUACCUGACUAAGAAGCCCCGGCUAACUACGUG
RNAcentral lists this ribosomal RNA (478 nucleotides) under uncultured bacterium. RNAcentral describes it as "partial 16S ribosomal RNA". It matches the Rfam family "Bacterial small subunit ribosomal RNA", at positions 28 to 507 of the family's 1533-position model. The record is from RNAcentral.